RNAcentral lists this ribosomal RNA (429 nucleotides) under Chloroflexota bacterium. RNAcentral's name for it is "Chloroflexi bacterium partial 16S ribosomal RNA". It matches the Rfam family "Bacterial small subunit ribosomal RNA", at positions 355 to 776 of the family's 1533-position model. The record is from RNAcentral. Lineage: Bacteria; Bacillati; Chloroflexota.
UGGGGAAUAUUGCACAAUGGGCGCAAGCCUGAUGCAGCCAUGCCGCGUGUAUGAAGAAGGCCUUCGGGUUGUAAAGUACUUUCAGCGGGGAGGAAGGGAGUAAAGUUAAUACCUUUGCUCAUUGACGUUACCCGCAGAAGAAGCACCGGCUAACUCCGUGCCAGCAGCCGCGGUAAUACGGAGGGUGCAAGCGUUAAUCGGAAUUACUGGGCGUAAAGCGCACGCGGGCGGUUUGUUAAGUCAGAUGUGAAAUCCUCGGGCUCAACCUGGGAACUGCAUCUGAUACUGGCAAGCUUGAGUCUCGUAGAGGGGGGUAGAAUUCCAGGUGUAGCGGUGAAAUGCGUAGAGAUCUGGAGGAAUACCGGUGGCGAAGGCGGCCCCCUGGACGAAGACUGACGCUCAGGUGCGAAAGCGUGGGGAGCAAACAGG